RNAcentral lists this transfer RNA (72 nucleotides) under Camelus ferus (Wild Bactrian camel). It matches the Rfam family "tRNA". Rfam says of the family: Transfer RNA (tRNA) molecules are approximately 80 nucleotides in length. Lineage: Eukaryota; Metazoa; Chordata; Mammalia; Artiodactyla; Camelidae. The record is from Rfam by way of RNAcentral.
GAGGGUGUAGCUCAGUGGUAGAGCACGUGCCUAACAUGCACAAGGUCCUGGGCUCAAUCCCCAGUGCCUCCG